ACUUUUUUAGCUCAUCACAUGGCUUUUAGCAGAAGGCUUCAGUUCCUCACCAUGUUGGUCUCUCCAAAGGGUUGUUCAUGUUAUCUCUUCCUCUAGAGCAGCCAUGCAUGUCAUUUGCUGCUUAAAUCCAAAAUAGUUCUCUUUUUAAUUGGGUCUGAGGCUUCAGGACCCCAACUUCUGCCAGUGAGAGCACUAAAUGAAGUCUUCAUUGGGGAGAGUCUGUCAUCCAGGGCUUCCUACUAUGAGAUUUCAGUUGAUGAUGGUCCAUGGGAAAAACAGAAGAGUUCAGGGCUCAAUUUGUGUACUGGAACAGGAUCAAAGGCCUGGUCAUUCAAUAUUAACAGGGUUGCAACUCAGGCUGUAGAAGAUGUUUUAAAUAUUGCAAAACGACAAGGAAAUUUGAGUCUUCCAUUGAACAAAGAAUUGGUAGAGAAAGUAACAAAUGAAUAUAAUGAAUCACUGCUCUACAGUCCGGAAGAACCAAAAAUACUUUUCAGUAUUCGAGAACCAAUAGCAAAUAGAGUUUUCUCAAGCAGUCGUCAGCGUUGUUUCUCCUCAAAGGUUUGUGUUCGUUCUCGUUGUUGGGAUGCCUGUAUGGUUGUGGAUGGAGGAACUUCUUUUGAGUUUAAUGAUGGUGCAAUUGCUUCGAUGAUGAUCAAUAAAGAAGAUGAGCUUCGAACUGUGCUUCUUGAACAGUGAAGGAUUUCCUCAUGACAAAUUUUGAUUACUGGCGAGAAUAUUUUUACUUCAGAAACAGACUACCAGUCGUAAAGUGACAUUU
Molecule: small RNA, 781 nt
Filed under: Pan troglodytes (chimpanzee)
Lineage: Eukaryota; Metazoa; Chordata; Mammalia; Primates; Hominidae
Description: processed transcript
Source: RNAcentral